GACCGAGGGUGCAAACGUUGUUCGGAAUUACUGGGCGUAAAGCGCGUGUAGGCGGCUAUGCAAGUCGGGCGUGAAAUCCCACGGCUCAACCGUGGAAGUGCACUCGAAACUGCGUAGCUAGAGUCCUGGAGAGGAAGGUGGAAUGCUUGGUGUAGAGGUGAAAUUCGUAGAUAUCAAGCGGAACACCGGUGGCGAAGGCGGCCUUCUGGACAGUGACUGACGCUGAGACGCGAAGGCGUGGGGAGCAAACAGG
This 253-nucleotide ribosomal RNA is filed under the name uncultured bacterium. RNAcentral describes it as "partial 16S ribosomal RNA". It matches the Rfam family "Bacterial small subunit ribosomal RNA", at positions 524 to 776 of the family's 1533-position model. The record is from RNAcentral.